Molecule: long non-coding RNA, 21380 nt
Filed under: Vitis vinifera (wine grape)
Lineage: Eukaryota; Viridiplantae; Streptophyta; Magnoliopsida; Vitales; Vitaceae
Description: long non-coding RNA (VVIN_LNC004863)
Source: RNAcentral
AUUGCUUAGUUCUUGCUUAAUUUCUCCAUUUUAUGGUGGGUCUUUGAUUGCAGGUUUAGCUCUGCGCGAGAACUGGGAAAUUUAAUUGUGACCUCCAAUCUAAUCGACUCUGCUUUGACUAAAAUUCUUGAGCUUCAAAGAGACCAAACAGCCUUGCCUUCCCCCGUUCAAUACAGAGUUUUUUAUCCAUCUCCCAAGUGCACAAUUGUAGCUUUUGUCUCUUCACCUGACUGCACUCAAAACCCUCUUCCUGGACAAGGAGAUUUAGUUCCCUCUCCUCUCUUUGACUUCCUCUGCACCGAAGAAUACCCUUCCGUCUCCAUUAACGGAGCCGCAUUAACCCUCUUUACCUCUCUCUACGAUCAUCUCUCUGGACUAAUAGAUGAGGUCAAAAUCUGAUACUUGUUUUAAUUUACGUUAACUUUUCGUUAACAAUUGUGAGACACGAAACAGCUUGACCAUGAGAUCUCCCUCAUGGAGUCAAAACCCGUGUUGGUAUCUGUUUUUAGAUCAACUUAUAUAUAUAUAUAUAUAUAUAUAUAUAUAUCUUGUGGAUAAAAGGAAAGUUUACAAGUGAGAAUAGUGGCAUUUUUCUGACAGAUUUCACACCGUUGCUUGUUUUGCAGUUGACUGUGAUUGAAGGUCGAUUAAUCAUCACUGGGCACUCGAUGGGAGGAUCCGUUGCUUCUCUCUUCACCUUAUGCCUGCUAGAAGUCAUUAAUAUAUCAAAACCCAAAUGCCGCCCCAUUUGCAUCACCUUUGGUUCACCCCUCAUAGGCGACUUUGGCCUCCAACACUCCAAUUGGAAUUCUUUCUUCUUGCAUGUAGUGUCCAACCAAGAUCUAGUCCCCGGACUCUUCCUCCCAUCCGGCAGAUCUCCUCCCACAUCCUCCCAUUCACAAACUACUGGUUACAAGCCCUUUGGGACAUAUCUCUUGUGCUCUGAACUUGGUUGUGCUUGUUUUGACAACCCUGAUUUAAUUUUGGAAUUGCUGAAAGUCAUAUCAUCAGAGGUUGCCGGAGGAUUGCGGGAUGUUGAUUACAGGAAGAUUUUAAUAAACCUCAAGGAGAGGGCAAUCUUCAAGGGACUUCAGCAGGUGGGUGAAAGGUUUGCAGAUCCCUUGUCAGCUGGGAUCGUCAUGGACCUUGAGAUAAUUGGAUUUGAUCAAACAAAGGUAAACAGCUUUCUCCCAAUUAAUGAUGUAGUAUGGUUUACACUCAACUUCACCAAAACCUGCAACAACUGCCCUAUUUAGAUUUGCCUUCCUGUUCUUUGGGUUCUUCUAUAACUUCUCAUUUUUUAAAUUCAUGGCAGCUGUUGCGGCACAACAUUGAUAUCAACACUGUGAUAAGGAUACUGGGAGUGGAAGCCAGAAUCCUAGCCCACAAAAAUAAAGCUUCUGAUGCCAAGAAACUGAAUGACAUAAAAAUACACAUGGCCCAGCUAGAAUGGUAUAAGAAGAAAUCAAAAGAUCUGAACAAGGGUUACUACGACUGCUUCAAAAACCAGGGGUCAAAAAGGGACAUUAAAAUUGAACAGUAUAGGGGACACCUCACAAUAUACUGGAAAGACAUGGUUGCACAAGUACAGAGGAAGCCCCAGAAGGAAGGAGCAUCAUUUCGAACCAGUUGGCUCUAUCCAGGGACAACUUAUAGAAGAAUGGUUGAACCACUGGACAUUGCUGCCUUCUACAGAGAGGGUAGAACAGACUACAUAAACAAUGGAAGAUCUCCUCAUUACAAGCUGUUGCAGCAAUGGUAUGAGGAAGAUGUGAAGCCCCCAUCCAGAGAUAAGCUCGAUUCCAAGAAACUAAAGGUGUCUGGUAUCCUAACUGAGGAUUCUUUGUUUUGGGCACAUGUGGAGGAGGCUCUCUUGUCAUGCGAAUCGCUCAAGAGUGCAAACUCUACUCUUGAGCAGAGAAAAUCAUCAUGGGAUAAUCUGGUUAAGUUUGGGGAGUAUGUAAUGGAACAGAUUGGAAACUAUGCAGUGUCCCCUGAGAUUUUCUUGGGGGAAAGCAGCUUCAUGAAAUGGUGGGGAGUGUAUGAGGACUACAUAGAUGCUUCCAAUAAUUCCUAUGGGUCACCAUUGAUCAGCUUUAUGAAGAACCGUAGUUAUAGACUGUAUGGUUAGAGGGCAAUCCAGUUUGUGUAUUGUGUUUAUUGUAUUGUGAGCAUUCAAUAGAUAAAACUAGAAAGAGCGUGACCUUUUUAUGACAACUUUAGAAACCAGGGGUUAAAAGAGACAUUACAAACUGAAGUUUUUGAGAGGAAACCUCAAGAGUAUACUGGGAAGCCAUGGUGGAACAAGUAGAGAGGAAGCCUCAGAAGGAAGGAGCAAUGGUUGAACCACUUGACAUUGUUGCCUACUACAGGGAGGGUGUAAGAAACAACAUAACCGAGGGAAGAUCUGAACGUUAAACGUUGUCCAAUUAUUAUAAAUGUCUUAUACAUUACGUGUGAAAAUACCAAAAAAAAUUAUAUUCAACAUUUAUGUUUGUAUACAAGCAAUAUUUUGGAUAGUUUGAUAUAAAAAACAAAUGAAGAAAAUGAAGAAAAACAUACAAAUAUAUUUACAAUGGACAAACUUAUACAAUUAGUAUAAAUGUCUUGUAUAUUUAGUACAAAUGUCUCGUACUUUGUAAAAAUAUAAAAAUAUAGUAUUUGACUUUUAUAUAUGUGUGAAAAUGUAAAAAGAAAAAGAAAAAUAGUUAGAGCAUUUGGUACCGUGAGUGAUGACUUCACCUAAAGAAAGGUUAAUGAAUAUUAUGGUCUCGAUGGAAGAGCGACUCCGGUAAAAUAUAUGGAUUAAAUUGAUGCUUUUCUUUUGACGAUGAAGUAGUUGAGUUAUGAAUACGAGGUUUUGCUAACAGCAUUGAAGGCAAGGAUUCCCUAAUAUACUCCAAUUCAUAUUCAAUUUGUAGACCUUCAACUAACUACUCUUGCUAACGAGCAUAUCCAAGUCAAUACAUAAGAUUAAUUAAGAUUAAGUAUUACGUAUGAUAAUUGAAACCCUAUUUAAAUAAAUAAUGACACAUAUAUAAAAAAUAUAUAUAUUUUUAAAAAAAUAAAUAACAAUUUAGAGAAUUUCAUAACUUAGCAUCAAACCUAUUGUAAGAAAGAGUAUUAUACAAUGUAGGGUUUAGGAUCCAAGUCAACCUAAGAUCAAAUUUAAGUUUUAAGAUCAAUUCACAUUCAAAACUAAGGUUUUAAGUUUCAAAAAUAUAUUUCUUAAACCAAUUAAAUGGAAAAAAGAAAAUUACAAAGAAAAUUUCUCCCUCAUCAGUUUCUUUUAUCUUGAAAACUAAAGGAAAUAUAUAUCAAUAUUUGAGAUGGAAAUUCAUAAUCUUAGGUGGUGUUUGUUUUUUUGGCUUUUUGCUGAAAACUAUUUAGUUUUAGAAUUUAGGUUUUUUUUUUUUUUUACUUUUUCAUGACUUAUAAUAAACUUUUUACUAAAUAGAAAAAACCAAAAUAUGUGGUUUUUUCUAAAUAGAAAAAAUAACACAAUGGUUUUUUUUACUUUUUAAUACUUAAUAGAAAUAAAAUACUACAAAAACAAACAUCUUAAUAUUUAAUACUAUUAAGUAUUAAGGUUCUAUUUAGAAUUAAGUAAAAAAACAAACACCACCUUAGAAACACAAAGAACAAAGAGAGUAUGAAGAGACCAUACCAUGAGAGAUUUUCCGAAAGGUUGGUAAACCAUGGUAAUCACCUUUGAGUCUUGCUGAGAAAAACAAACCUUAUUUAUUUUUAUUUUUUUAUCAUUUUUUCUCUUGUGUGGUGUACAUUUAAGAAAAACAAAUCUCAAAAAAAAAAAAAAACACAAACCAAAUAAUGCCAGAAUUUGGGUUGAGAAACACCCAAAAGAUAGUGGCCCAAUACAUGUGCCUAAGAAAAUCUUCAUGAGCCGAUAAACAUAGUCACAAAACUAGUAACAGCCUUGUAGCCAUAGUUGGUGUAGUAUGAGCAAGUGGGGUAUGAAGUAGGUAGGUGAGUAUUGCAAUGAAAUUUCCAGCACUGCUUCCUGAAUUAAGAAAUCACAUACCCAAGUCUUAGUCGUCGUCGUCGUCGUACCGUGUGAGAACCGGGAAGAAUCUUUGCUCGUAGACUGGCUUUUGUAGUCUUUCUUUAACAAUUACAAGUUAUCUGAAUUCCCUUCAUCCUCCUAUAUAAUAUUGUUUUGGUCUUGUUCUUGUUGCAUUGUGGCUAGGCAUCUCCAUGGAAGGAAGGAGGAUGAAUCAAGUUCCUUUGUAUGAAUCAAUUUCUCUGCUCUUUUUUUUUUUCAAUCCUUGAAUCGAAUCAUUGCUUAGUUCUUGCUUUAAUUUCUCCAUUUUCUGUUGGGUCUUUGAUUGCAGGUUUAGCUCUGCAAGAGAACUGGGAAAUUUAAUUGUGACCUCCAAUCUAAUCGACUCUGCUUUGACUAAAAUUCUUGAGCUUCAAAGAGACCAAACAGCCUUGCUUUCCCCCGUUCAAUACAGAGUUUUUUUAUCCAUCUCCCAACUGCACAAUUGUAGCUUUUGUCUCUUCACCUGACUGCACUCAAAACCCUCUUCCUGGACAAGGAGAUUUAGUUCCCUCUCCUCUCUUUGACUUCCUCUGCACCGAAGAAUACAAGUCCGUCUCCAUUAACAGAGCUGCAUUAACCCUCUUUACCUCUCUCCACGAUCAUCUCUCUGGACUAAAAACUCAGGUCAAAAUAUGAUAGUUGUUUUUAUUUUCGUUUCCUUUUUGUUAACAAUUGUGAGACAUGAAACAGCUUGACCAUGAGAUCUCUCUCAUAGAGUCAAACUACCUGAAGAAGAAGAAGACGUUACACAUAUCCAUCUGCGUUGCAUCAUCGCAUUACCCAUUGAUCGGUUGUGAUUCAACUCUUAAUAGGAAGACAGUAGAACUGGUGUUGGUAUCUGUUUUUAGAUCAGCUUAUAUGUAUCUUGUUGCUAAAAAGGGAAUGUUUAGAAGUGAGAUUAAUGGGAUUAUUCUGACAUGGAUUUCAUAUGGUUACCUGUUUUGCAGUUGACUGUGAUUGAAGGUCAAUUAAUCAUCACUGGGCACUCCCUGGGAGGAGCCGUUGCUUCUCUCUUCACCUUAUGCCUGCUAGAUGAAAAUUUAUUAAAACCCAAAUGCCGCCCCUUUUGUAUCACCUUUGGUUCACCCCUCGUCGGCGGCUUUGGCCUCCAACACUCCAUAUGGAAUUCUUUCUUCCUGCAUGUAGUGUCUAACCAAGACCCAGUCCCCGGUCUCUUCCUCCCAUCUGGCAGAGGCAGAUCUACGCCCACAUCCUCCCAUUCACAAACUACCGGUUACAAGCCCUUUGGGACAUAUCUCUUGUGCUCUGAACUUGGUUGUGCUUGUUUUGACAACCCUGAUUUAAUUUUGGAAUUGCUGAAAGUCAUAUCAUCAGAGGUUGCCGGAGGAUUGCAGGAUGUUGAUUAUGGGGAGAUUUUAAGAAACCUCAAGGAGAGGGCAAUCUGCAAGGGACUUCCGCAGGUGGGUGAAAGGUUUGCAAAUCCAUUUUCAGCUGGGAUCAUCAUGGAACUUGAGACAAUUGGAUUUAAUCAAACAAAGGUAAACAGCUUUCUCCCAUCUAAUGAUGUUAUGGAACAUGGUUUACACCUCAUUAAAUACUGCAACAACUGCCCUAUUUAGAUUUACCUUCUUGUUCUUUGGGAUUUUCCAUAACUAGACUCAUUUUUUAAUUUCAUGGCAGCUGCUGCAGCAUAACAUUGAUAUCGAGACUGUGAUAAGCGCAAUGGAAGCGGAAGCAAGAAACCUAACCCAGAAAAAUAAAGCUUCCGAUGCCAAGAAACUGAAUGAAAUAAAAAUAGACAUGACCCGGCUAGAAUUGUAUAAGAAGAAUUCGAACAUGGGUUACUACGAUUGCUUCAAAAACCAGGGGUCUAAAAGGGACAUCCACGUUGAACAGUUUAGGGUAAACCUCACAGGGUACUGGGAAGGCAUGGUUGCACAAAUACAGAGGAAGCCUCAUAAGGAAGGAGCAACAUUUCGAACCCGUUGGCUCUAUGCAGGGACGGUUUAUAGAAGAAUGGUUGAACCACUGGACAUUGCUGCCUUCUACAGAGAGGGUAGAAAAGACUACAUGAAUAAAAGAUCUGCACAUUACAAGCUGUUGCAGGAAUGGUAUGAGGAAGAUGUGAAACCCCCCUCUAGAGAUAAGCUUGAUUCCAAGAAGCAAAAGGUGUCCAGUAUCCUAACUGAGGAUUCUUGCUUUUGGGCACAUGUGGAGGAGGCUAUCUUGUCAUGCGAAUUGCUCAAGAGUGAAAACUGUAAUCUUGAGGAGGGAAAAUCAUCAUGGGAUAAUCUGGUUAAGUUCGAGGAGUAUGUAAUGGAACAGAUUGACAACUAUGCAGUGUCCCCUGAGAUUUUCUUGGAGAAAAGCAGCUUCAUGAAAUGGAGGGGACUGUAUGAGGGCUACAUAGAUACUCGCAGUAAUUCCCAUAGCUCGCCAUUGAUCAGCUUUAUGAAGAAUCGUAGUUAUAGACAAUAUGGAUAGAGGGGUAAUCCAGUUUGUGUGUUGUGUGUAUUGUUUUGUGAGCAUUCAAUGGAUAGAACUAGAAAGAGUGUGACCUUUUCCUUUUUUUUUUCAGUUGCUGCCCAUAUUCUCAGCACUAUUUUCUUCCUUCUUUUCCUCAGUUUUUUUGUUAAGAAAUGAAUAUUAUGAUGUUGCCGGGAUGCACUUUCAUUUUUGUUCCAUUACAUUGUGUUUUAUUCAUAUCCUAAACAAAUAAAUGUAAACAAGAAAAUCAAAUGAGACUUCAAAGAGUCUGUUCCUUUUAAAGCAAGGGAAAAAAAGGACAUGUUUGUUUACUUCCACAGCUGGGUAGAUUCAACUCCACCAAAAUUGGCAACAACUUCCCAUUGAAAAAUUCCUUUUAAGCUUGAAUGACAUAAAACUAGAUAUGUUCCAGCUAGAAUGGUACAAGAAAGAAAUCAAAAGAUGAGCACAAUGGGUUAUUAUGACAGCUUUAGAAACCUGGGGUGUAAAAGAGACAUUAAAAUGGAACCGAGGGGAAGACAUUGUAGAACAAGUAAAGAGGAAGCCUCACCAGGAAGGGCAGCUUUGCAAACCCUCUGGCUCUGUACAGGAACGAAUUAUAGAAAGAUGGUUGAACCACUUGACAUUGCUGCCUACCACAGAGAGGGUGGAAGAAACUACAUAACCAAUGGAGGAUGUAAACAUUACACGCUAUUAGAGCAAUGAUGCAAUGAAGAGAAGGGGACUUUGUCUUCCAAUAAUUUAAGAAAAUAAAACCAAAUAAUGCCAGAAUUUGGGUUGAGAAACACCCAAAAGAUAGUGGCCCAAUAUGAAGUAGUCACAAAACUAGUAACAGCCUUGUGGCCAUAGUUGGUGUAGUAUGAGCAAGUGGGGUAUGAAGUAGGUAGGUGAGUAUUGCAAUGAAAUUUCCAGCACUGCUUCCUGAAUUAAGAAAUCACAUACUCAAGUCUUAAUCGUUGUCAUCAUACCGUGUGAGAACCGAGGAAGAAUCUUUGCUCUUAGACUGGAUUUUGUAGUCUUUCUUUAACAAUUACAAGUUAUCUGAAUUCCCUUCAUCCUCCUAUAUAAUAUUGUUUUUGGUCUUGUUCUUGUUGCAUUGUGGCUAGGCAUCUCCAUGGGAGGAAGGAGGAUGAAUCAAGUUCCUUUGUAUGAAUCAAUUUCUCUGCUCUUUUUUUUUUCAAUCCUUGAAUCGAAUCAUUGCUUAGUUCUUGCUUUAAUUUCUCCAUUUUCUGUUGGGUCUUUGAUUGCAGGUUUAGCUCUGCAAGAAAACUGGGAAAUUUAAUUGUGACCUCCAAUCUAAUCGACUCUGCUUUGACUAAAAUUCUUGAGCUUCAAAGAGACCAAACAGCCUUGCCUUCCCCCGUUCAAUACAGAGUUUUUUAUCCAUCUCCCAACUGCACAAUUGUAGCUUUUGUCUCUUCACCUGACUGCACUCAAAACCCUCUUCCUGGACAAGGAGAUUUAGUUCCCUCUCCUCUCUUUGACUUCCUCUGCACCGAAGAAUACAAGUCCGUCUCCAUUAACAGAGCUGCAUUAACCCUCUUUACCUCUCUCCACGAUCAUCUCUCUGGACUAAAAACUCAGGUCAAAAUAUGAUAGUUGUUUUUAUUUUCGUUUCCUUUUUGUUAACAAUUGGGAGACAUGAAACAGCUUGACCAUGAGAUCUCUCUCAUAGAGUCAAACUACCUGAAGAAGAAGAAGACGUUACACAUAUCCAUCUGCGCUGCAUCAUCGCAUUACCCAUUGAUCGGUUGUGAUUCAACUCUUAAUAGGAAGACAGUAGAACUGGUGUUGGUAUCUGUUUUUAGAUCAGCUUAUAUGUAUCUUGUUGCUAAAAAGGGAAUGUUUAGAAGUGAGAUUAAUGGGAUUAUUCUGACAUGGAUUUCAUAUGGUUACCUGUUUUGCAGUUGACUGUGAUUGAAGGUCGAUUAAUCAUUACUGGGUACUCGAUGGGAGGAUCCGUUGCUUCUCUCUUCACCUUAUGCCUGUUAGAAGUCAUCAAUUUAUCAAAACCCAAAUGCCGCCCCAUUUGUAUCACCUUUGGUUCACCCCUCAUAGGCGACUUUGGCCUCCAACACUCCAAUUGGAAUUCUUUCUUCUUGCAUGUAGUGUCCAACCAAGAUCUAGUCCCCGGACUCUUCCUCCCAUCCGACAGAUCUCCUCCCACAUCCUCCCAUUCACAAACUACUGGUUACAAGCCCUUUGGGACAUAUCUCUUGUGCUCUGAACUUGGUUGUGCUUGUUUUGACAACUCUGAUUUAAUUUUGGAAUUGCUGAAAGUCAUAUCAUCAGAGGUUGCCAGAGGAUUGCGGGAUGUUGAUUACAGGAAGAUUUUAAGAAACCUCAAGGAGAGGGCAAUCUGCAAGGGACUUCCGCAGGUGGGUGAAAGGUUUGCAAAUCCAUUUUCAGCUGGGAUCAUCAUGGAACUUGAGACGAUUGGAUUUAAUGAAACAAAGGUAAACAGCUUUCUCCCAUCUACUGAUGUUAUGGAACAUGGUUUACACAUCAUUAAAUACUGCAACAACUGCCCUAUUUAGAUUUAGGGCAAUGAUGAAAAUAUCAGUAAUCACGGAUAUAUCAGUAUUUCGAUUUUACGGAUAUAUCGGAUAUAUCGGAGAUAUAUCGGUAGAUAUUUUGAAAAAAAAUAUCGGCAAGCUUAAAAUUGUUAAAAACUCAUGAAAAUAUAAGAAAAUCUCAUAAUAAUAUAAUUAAAAGUAUAAUAGACAUUUUAAAGUUAUUUUAUUGAAAAUUUUGAUAUAUGUAUAACAUGAUUUAUCAUAUUUGAUAAUAAUAUCGUAUGCGUCGAUAAAAAUAUGAAUUUUAUAAGUGUACAUUUAUUAUUAAAUUACACCUAAUAUUAUGAUAUCUGAUUAUAAUAUGUCUAAUUUUAAAAUAUAUAUUAGUAUUAAAAUAUGAUCCAUUUAAUUCAAUUGUAUUAAACAAUAUAAAAUAAAUAAUGAUAUAUAUAUAUAUAUAUAUAAUUUUUUAAUAUUUAAUUAAUUAUUAAUGAUAUUAAAAACAUUAUGAAGAAAAUUAUAUAAUUUUUUAAUUUUUGGUAAUUAAUUAAAAGACUUUGCAUUUAAUUAUAAAUUAAUUAUAAUUAAUUUACUCUUUAAAAUAUUCUUAUAUUUUCUUUAUAUAAUGAAUUUAAGUAUAUAUAUAGUUGUUGCAUAUUAUAUAUUAAAGGACAACUUAGCCCAAGUGGUAAGCGAGUGAACCCCAAUGUGAGGCAUUGUAGCACGUGCACUGUAGCAUCACUGUAGCGACUCUGACUUUCGUUGACCCGCAUUGACUACACGAUAUAUCGGAGAAAAAUCACUGAUUUAUCGCCAAAUCACCAAUAAAUCGCCGAUUUCUCGCGAUAAAUACCAAAAUAUAGUGUCGAAACCCUUCGAUACACGAUUUUUCGGCGCAUUUUCUUACUUGGAUUUACCUUUUUGUUCUUUGGGAUCUUCCAUGACUCAUUUUUUAAUGCCAUUUUAUUUUCCUUUUUGUUUCUAAAUUUUUAAAAAAUCGUUUUCACUUCUUUUUUUUAAGAAAAUUUUGGCAAAUUUUGAAAAUAUAAUAUUAGUGUUUUCACUUCUUUCUUUUUUUUUUUUUUCUUUUUUUUUUUAAACUCAAUUUUCUAAAAAAUGAAAAUAGAAAAACAUUGUCUAAACAUGUUUGUAAACUUAAUUUUAUUUUUUUAUAAAUGAAAAAAAAAAUCUAAAUGAGUAAGGCUUUAUUAAUUUUAAUUUUUUUCUUUUCCUUAUAUUUUCUUAUUUUAUUCCAAAUUUUCUUGCAACCAAACAUAAUCUAAAUGUUUACAACUUUUAUUGUAAGGAAUGAAUGACACUACUUUGUGAACUUUUAUGAUAAUAUUUUGAAUCAUAAAUUGUGUUUUUUUUAGUAAUAUCAAUUUUAUUACCAAUGACUUAAUUGUUAAUAACAAAAUAUAAUAUUUAUAAAUAUUUUUAUUCUCAACAGGCUACAAUUUUUACUCUUGUGAUAAAAAAAAUUUUGUCAUAAAUUACACAUUAUGAUGAGUUUUUCUAUUUUCCUUAUCAGCCAAUUCAACAAAUAUCAUAUAUAUUGUAAUGGCUAACAAAUUUUCACAUAAAUUUUUUAUAAGAUAAAGUAGAAUGGAAUUAUUCAAUUUCAAAAAAAAAAAAAAUGGUACCUAAUGAAAAAGAUAAAAUAUAUAGAUCAUCUCGAAGAAAUCAGGAAAGAUAAAUGAUGAGACCAUAUAUAGGACCCUUGAUGGAGACUAUUUUAAUUGAAGUGGUGUGCUCCUUCCGACUCAGAACAUGUUCAGCAUUGCACACAAACUAACAUCGUCGAUCUUGAGUAUGAAAAAGGUGAUUAGAUUCCAAGGUUGUCGUUUGUCCCAACUCCUCAUAUUAGAGGUGAUGCUCAAGCUAACGUGCCUCGCAGUUGAGCCCCGGCCAAUCGGUCUAAUAUGCUUUUCCAAUGGUGAGUUUCACUGCCACCAUGUAUUACAUUAAUUCCGAUAGCGCACAAGUUGUGUUUGUGCUAUUGCUUUUUGCCCUCACAAACAUAUACACAAGAGACAUUCAGACCAGAUCUGUUCUACCAUCCUCUAGGAAAGCAUUGUAGGUCAUUUGAAAUUGGGAUUUCAGCACCAGAGUCAAAUUGCCUUCCUUCCUGAAAGAUGAGCAUUUUUUAUACUCUUACAUCGGCUUUUAUGGAAAUGAAAUCAGCUUCUCAUUCUGUUACAUUUUUCAAUUUUGCUGCCUAUAACUGCUCACUGCCUGUUUGUGAGACAUUAUCCAGAUUUUCCCUGAUCAAUUAUAGAGAGGUCAUUGGACUCAUCCAUGAUUGGAAUUUCCUGUUAUCAUUAUUUGCAAAUCAUCAACCAUUUGUCAUGAUAUCUUAAGUUAAGCUGAGCACGAAUUUCAGCUAAGAUCCUCAGAACUAGAAAUAUGCACUGCAGGUAUUACUUGAUAUGUGAAUAUCCAAUACAAUAUUUUUUUACUAAGAGGAAUACGAAUUUGAAACACUUUCCAAUAAUUUAUCAAGUCAUAUUUUCGUGCUGUCGUGAUACAUGUGUCUACUGUAUGCAUGGCUUUUCUUUUCUACACAUGCCUUUAUCUUUGCACAUGACUCUUUUGAUACACGCCAGCAUCAAGGCAAUUGCCUAAAUCUAAAUCACAUCCUUUGUGUCACGUCUUCCUUGUUACCACGGUCCUCUUGUACACCAUGGUCCCUUAAUGUAACUUGUGCCACAAGCCCUUUGUGCAUGAAUUCAAAUUGUUCAAUCAUUUCGCCAUUUACACCUUUUAAGGUCCAAUAAGCGUAUACAAGAGACUACACUCAUUCUAGAUGAUAAAGUACAUUCAACUAACUACUCUUGCUAAUGAGCAUAUCCAAGUCAAUACAUAAGAUUAAUUAUUACAUAUGGUAAUUGAAACCCUGUUUAAAUAAAUAGUGACACAAAUAUAAAAAAUAUAUAUAUUUAAAAAUAAAUAAAUAACAAUUUAGAGAAUUUCAUAACUUAGUAUCAAACCUAUUGUAGGAAAGAGUAUUAUACAAUGUAGGGUUUAGGAUCAAAGUUAACCUAAGAUCAAUUUUAAGUUUUAAGACCAAUUCAAAUUCAAAACUAAGGUUUUAAGUUUCAAAAAUAUAUCUCUUAAACCAAUUAAAUAGAAAAAAGAAAAUUACAAAGAAAAUUUCUUCCUCAUCGGUUUCUUUUAUCUUGAAAACUAAAGGAAAUAUAUAUCAAUAUUUGAGAUGGAAAUUCAUAAUCUUAGAAACACAAAGAACAAAGAGAGUAUGAAGAGACCAUACCAUGAGAGAUUUUCCAAAAGGUUGGUAAACCAUGGUAAUCACCUUUGAGUUUUGCUGAGAAAAACAAACCUUAAUUUUUAUUUUUAUUUUUUUAUCAUUUUUUCUCUUGUGGUGUACAUUUAAGAAAAACAAAUCUUAAAAAAAAAAAAAAAAAAACCAAAUAAUGCCAGAAUUUGGGUUGAGAAACACCCAAAAGAUAGUGGCCCAAUACAUGUGCCUAAGAAAAUCUUCAUGAGCCGAUAAACAUAGUCACAAAACUAGUAACAGCCUUGUAGCCAUAGUUGGUGUAGUAUGAGCAAGUGGGGUAUGAAGUAGGUAGGUGAGUAUUGCAAUGAAAUUUCCAGCACUGCUUCCUGAAUUAAGAAAUCACAUACCCAAGUCUUAGUCGUCGUCGUCGUACCGUGUGAGAACCGGGAAGAAUCUUUGCUCGUAGAGUGGCUUUUGUAGUCUUUCUUUAACAAUUACAAGUUAUCUGAAUUCCCUUCAUCCUCCUAUAUAAUAUUGUUUUUGGUCUUGUUCUUGUUGCAUUGUGGCUAGGCAUCUCCAUGGAAGGAAGGAGGAUGAAUCAAGUUCCUUUGUAUGAAUCAAUUUCUCUGCUCUUUUUCUUUUCAAUCCGUGAAUCGAAUCAUUGCUUAGUUCUUGCUUUAAUUUCUCCAUUUUCUGUUGGGUCUUUGACUGCAGGUUUAGCUCUGCAAGAGAACUGGGAAAUUUAAUGGUGACCUCCAAUCUAAUCGACUCUGCUUUGACUAAAAUUCUUGAGCUUCAAAGAGACCAAACAGCCUUGCUUUCCUCCGUUCAAUACAGAGUUUUUUAUCCAUCUCCCAAGUGCACAAUUGUAGCUUUUGUCUCUUCACCUGACUGCACUCAAAACCCUCUUCCUGGACAAGGAGAUUUAGUUCCGUCUCCUCUCUUUGACUUCCUCUGCACCGAAGAAUACAAGUCCGUCUCCAUUAACAGAGCUGCAUUAACCCUCUUUACCUCUUUCCACGAUCAUCUCUCUGGACUAAAAACUCAGGUCAAAAUAUGAUAGUUGUUUUUAUUUUCGUUUCCUUUUUGUUAACAAUUGUGAGACAUGAAACAGCUUGACCAUGAGAUCUCUCUCAUAGAGUCAAACUACCUGAAGAAGAAGAAGACGUUACACAUAUCCAUCUGCGUUGCAUCAUCGCAUUACCCAUUGAUCGGUUGUGAUUCAACUCUUAAUAGGAAGACAGUAGAACUGGUGUUGGUAUCUGUUUUUAGAUCAGCUUAUAUGUAUCUUGUUUCUAAAAAAGGUAAGUUUAGAAGUGAGAUUAAUGGGAUUAUUCUGACAUGGAUUCCAUAUGGUUACCUGUUUUGCAGUUGACUCAGAUUGAAGGUCAAUUAAUCAUCACUGGGCACUCCCUGGGAGGAUCCGUUGCUUCUCUCUUCACCUUAUGCCUGCUAGAUGGAAAUUUAUUAAAACCCAACUGCCGCCCCUUUUGUAUCACCUUUGGUUCACCCCUCAUCGGCGGCUUUGGCCUCCAACACUCCAUAUGGAAUUCUUUCUUCCUGCAUGUAGUGUCUAACCAAGACCCAGUCCCCGGUCUCUUCCUCCCAUCUGGCAGAGGCAGAUCUACGCCCACAUCCUCCCAUUCACAAACUACCGGUUACAAGCCCUUUGGGACAUAUCUCUUGUGCUCUGAACUUGGUUGUGCUUGUUUGGAAAAGCCUGAUUUAAUUUUGGGAUUGCUGAAAGUCAGAUCAUCCGAGGUUGCCGGAGGAUUGCAGGAUGUUGAUUAUGGGGAGAUUUUAAGAAACCUCAAGGAGAGGGCAAUCUGCAAGGGACUUCAGCAGGUGGGUGAAAGGUUUGCAGAUCCUUUUACAGCUGGGAUCAUCAUGGACCUUGAGAUAAUUGGAUUUGAUCAAACAAAGGUAAACAGCUAGCUUUCUCCCAUCUAAUGAUGUUAUGAAACAUGGUUUACACUUCACCAAAUACUGCAACAACUGCCCUAUUUAGAUUUGCCGUCUUGUUCUUUGGGAUCUUCCAUAACUAGACUCAUUUUUUAAUUUCAUGGCAGCUGCUGCAGCAUAACAUUGAUAUCGAGACUGUGAUAAGCACAAUGGAAGAGGAAGCCAGAAACCCAACCAAAAAAAAUAAAGCUUUCGAUGCCAAGAUUCUGAAUCACAAAAAAAAAGACAUGGCCGGGCUAGAAUGGUAUAAGAAGAAAUCAAAAGAUCUGAACAAGGGUUACUACGACUGCUUCAAAAACCAGGGGUCAAAAAGGGACAUUAAAAUUGAACAGUAUGGGGGACACCUCACAUUAUACUGGAAAGACAUGGUUGCACAAGUACAGAGGAAGCCCCAGAAGGAAGGAGCAACAUUUCGAACCCGUUGGCUCUAUGCAGGGACGGUUUAUAGAAGAAUGGUUGAACCACUGGACAUUGCUGCCUUCUACGUAGAGGGUGGAACAGACUACAUGAAGAAUGAAAGAUCUCUUCAUUACAAGCUGUUGCAGCAAUGGUAUGAGGAAGAUGUGAAACCCCCCUCUAAGGAUAAGCUUGAUUCCAAGAAGCAAAAGGUGUCUGGUAUCCUAACUGAGGAUUCUUGCUUUUGGGCACAUGUGGAGGAGGCUAUCUUGUCAUGCGAAUUGCUUAAGAGUGAAAACUGUACUCUUGAGCAGGAAAAAUCAUCAUGGGAUAAUCUGGUUAAGUUCGAGGAGUAUGUAAUGGAACAGAUUAACAACUAUGCAGUGUCCCCUGAGAUUUUCUUGGGGGAAAGCAGCUUCAUGAAAUGGUGGGGACUGUAUGAGGGCUACAUAUAUGCUCGCAGUAAUUCCCAUAGGUCACCAUUGAUCAGCUUUAUGAAGAACGGUAGUUAUACAGAGUAUCGUUAGAGGGGUAAUCCAGUUUGUGUGUUGUGUGUAUUGUUUUGUGAGCAUUCAAUGGAUAGAACUAGAAAGAGUGUGACCUUUUUCCUUUUUUUCUUCUAGUUGCUGCCCAUAUUCUCAGCACUAUUUUCUUCCUUCUUUUCCUCAGUUUUUUCUUAAGAAAUGAAUAUUAUGAUGUUGCUGGGAUGCACUUUCAUUUUUGUUCCAUUACAUUGUGUUUUAUUCAUAUCCUAAACAAAUAAAUGUAAACAAGAAAAUCAAAUAAGACUUCAAAGAGUCUGUUCCUUUUAAAGCAAGGGAAAAAAAGGACAUGUUUGUUUACUUCCACAGCUGGGUAGAUUCAACUCCACCAAAAUUGGCAACAACUUCCCAUUGAAAAAUUCCUUCUAAGCUUGAAUGACAUAAAACUAGAUAUGUUCCAGCUAGAAUGGUACAAAAAAGAAAUCAAAAGAUGAGCACAAUGGGUUAUUAUGACAGCUUUAGAAACCAUCUUACAACACAUCCAUCAGAAUUUAGACUAUUCAUAGAAACAUUCUUAACAUGUAAAUCUACUAUUGCCAUGCACGUCAACAUAGAAUUUCUAAAAUGAUUGAAUAAAAUAAAUAAAACAAAAGAAACCCUUCCAAGAGAAUUUCAUAAUCUAAUGUCAAAUCUAUUACGAAGAUGAACAUGUAAAAUUUAAGGUUUAUAAUCAAAGUCGACUUGAAUCUGAGUUUUAAAACCAAUUUGCAGUUUUUAAGUUUGGAGACUAGAUCUCUUAAACCAAUUAAAUGUAAAAAACUAAAAAGAAAACUUCUUCAAAUUUUGAAAUGAGAAUGAGAAUGCAAUUCCUAACUAGUUUCUUCAUCAAAAAUCCCGAAAAAAAAAAAAAAAGAAGAGAGAGAGAGACCAUAGACGCCAGUGUUUGGGUUUAGAACCACCCAAGAGAGAGUAGUCCAAUAUAUGGGCUUAAGAAAAUCCUCAUGGGCCUAAGCUAAGACUAGGAACAAUCUUGUAUCCGUGGUUGGUUUAGUAUGAGCAUGUGUACUGCGAAGGAAGUAGCUGAGAAUUGCAAUGGAAUUUCCAGUACUGCUUCCUGAACGAACAAAUCGCAUACCCAAGAUUUGGUCGUCAACGCCAUGCUGGGUGAGAACCGGGGAAGCAUCUUCGCUCGUUGACGAGCUUUUGUAGUCCUUCUUUAACAAUUAUAAGGCAUCUGAAUUCCCUUCAUCCUCCCACACCAUUGUUUUUGGUCUUGUUCUUGUUGCUUUGUGACUACGCAUCUCCAUGGAAGGAAGGAGGAUGAACCAAGUUCCUUUGUAUGCAUCAAUUUUACUGUUUUUUUUUUCCUUUUUAAUCUUUGGAUCGAAUCAUUGCUUAGUUCUUGCUUAAUUUCUCCAUUUUAUGUUGGGUCUUUGAUUGCAGGUUUAGCUCUGCGCGAGAACUGGGAAAUUUAAUUGUGACCUCCAAUCUAAUCGACUCUGCUUUGACUAAAAUUCUUGAGCUUCAAAGAGACCAAACAGCCUUGCCUUCCCCCGUUCAAUACAGAGUUUUUUAUCCAUCUCCCAAGUGCACAAUUGUAGCUUUUGUCUCUUCACCUGACUGCACUCAAAACCCUCUUCCUGGACAAGGAGAUUUAGUUCCCUCUCCUCUCUUUGACUUCCUCUGCACCGAAGAAUACCCUUCCGUCUCCAUUAACGGAGCCGCAUUAACCCUCUUUACCUCUCUCUACGAUCAUCUCUCUGGACUAAUAGAUGAGGUCAAAAUCUGAUACUUGUUUUAAUUUACGUUAACUUUUCGUUAACAAUUGUGAGACACGUAUAUAUAUAUAUAUAUAUAUAUAUCUUGUGGAUAAAAGGAAAGUUUACAAGUGAGAAUAGUGGCAUUUUUCUGACAGAUUUCACACCGUUGCUUGUUUUGCACUUGACUGUGAUUGAAGGUCGAUUAAUCAUCACUGGGCACUCGAUGGGAGGAUCCGUUGCUUCUCUCUUCACCUUAUGCCUGCUAGAAGUCAUUAAUAUAUCAAAACCCAAAUGCCGCCCCAUUUGCAUCACAUUUGGUUCACCCCUCAUAGGCGACUUUGGCUUCCAACACUCCAAUUGGAAUUCUUUCUUCUUGCAUGUAGUGUCCAACCAAGAUCUAGUCCCCGGACUCUUCCUCCCAUCCGGCAGAUCUCCUCCCACAUCCUCCCAUUCACAAACUACUGGUUACAAGCCCUUUGGGACAUAUCUCUUGUGCUCUGAACUUGGUUGUGCUUGUUUUGACAACCCUGAUUUAAUUUUGGAAUUGCUGAAAGUCAUAUCAUCAGAGGUUGCCGGAGGAUUGCGGGAUGUUGAUUACAGGAAGAUUUUAAUAAACCUCAAGGAGAGGGCAAUCUUCAAGGGACUUCAGCAGGUGGGUGAAAGGUUUGCAGAUCCCUUGUCAGCUGGGAUCAUCAUGGACCUUGAGAUAAUUGGAUUUGAUCAAACAAAGGUAAACAGCUUUCUCCCAAUUAAUGAUGUAGCAUGGUUUACACUCAACUUCACCAAAACCUGCAACAACUGCCCUAUUUAGAUUUGCCUUCCGGUUCUUUGGGUUCUUCUAUAACUUCUCAUUUUUUAAAUCCAUGGCAGCUGUUGCGGCACAACAUUGAUAUCAACACUGUGAUAAGGAUACUGGGAGCGGAAGCCAGAAUCCUAGCCCACAAAAAUAAAGCUUCUGAUGCCAAGAAACUGAAUGACAUAAAAAUACACAUGGCCCAGCUAGAAUGGUAUAAGAAGAAAUCAAAAGAUCUGAACAAGGGUUACUACGACUGCUUCAAAAACCAGGGGUUAAAAAGGGACAUUAAAAUUGAACAGUAUAGGGGACACCUCACAAUAUACUGGAAAGACAUGGUUGCACAAGUACAGAGGAAGCCCCAGAAGGAAGGAGCAUCAUUUCGAACCAGUUGGCUCUAUCCAGGGACAACUUAUAGAAGAAUGGUUGAACCACUGGACAUUGCUGCCUUCUACAGAGAGGGUAGAACAGACUACAUAAACAAUGGAAGAUCUCCUCAUUACAAGCUGUUGCAGCAAUGGUAUGAGGAAGAUGUGAAGCCCCCAUCCAGAGAUAAGCUCGAUUCCAAGAAACUAAAGGUGUCUGGUAUCCUAACUGAGGAUUCUUUGUUUUGGGCACAUGUGGAGGAGGCUCUCUUGUCAUGCGAAUCGCUCAAGAGUGCAAACUCUACUCUUGAGCAGAGAAAAUCAUCAUGGGAUAAUCUGGUUAAGUUUGGGGAGUAUGUAAUGGAACAGAUUGGAAACUAUGCAGUGUCCCCUGAGAUUUUCUUGGGGGAAAGCAGCUUCAUGAAAUGGUGGGGAGUGUAUGAGGACUACAUAGAUGCUUCCAAUAAUUUCUAUGGGUCACCAUUGAUCAACUUUAUGAAGGACCGUAGUUAUAGACUGUAUGGUUAGAGGGCAAUCCAGUUUGUGUAUUGUGUUUAUUGUAUUGUGAGCAUUCAAUAGAUAAAACUAGAAAGAGCGUGACCUUUUUAUGACAACUUUAGAAACCAGGGGUUAAAAGAGACAUUACAAAUUGAAUUUUUUGAGAGGAAACCUCAAGAGUAUACUGGGAAGCCAUGGUGGAACAAGUAGAGAGGAAGCUUCGGAAGGAAGGAUCAAUGGUUGAACCACUUGACAUUGUUGCCUACUUCAGGGAGGGUGUAAGAAACAACAUAACCGAGGGAAGAUCUGAACAUUAAACAUUGUACAAUUAUUGUAAAUGUCUUAUACAUUACGUGUGAAAAUACCAAAAAAAAUUAUAUUCAACAUUUAUGUUUGUAUACAAGCAAUAUUUUGGAUAGUUUGAUAUAAAAAACAAAUGAAGAAAACGAAGAAAAACAUACAAAUAUAUUUACAAUGGACAAACUUAUACAAUUAGUGUAAAUGUCUUGUAUAUUUAGUACAAAAGUCUCGUACUUUGUAAAAAUAUAAAAAUAUAGUAUUUGACUUUUAUAUAUGUGUGAAAAUGUAAAAGGAAAAAGAAAAAUAGUUAGAGCAUUUGGUACCGUGAGUGAUGACUUCACCUAAAGAAAGGUUAAUGAAUAUUAUGGUCUCGAUGGAAGAGCGACUCCGGUAAAAUAUAUGGAUUAAAUUGAUGCUUUUCUUUUGACGAUGAAGUAGUUGAGUUAUGAAUACGAGGUUUUGCUAACAACAUUGAAGGCAAGGAUUCCCUAAUAUACUCCAAUUCAUAUUCAAUUUGUAGACCUUCAACUAACUACUCUUGCUAAUGAGCAUAUCCAAGUGAAUACAUAAGAUUAAUUAUUACAUAUGAUAAUUGAAACCCUGUUUAAAUAAAUAGUGACACAAAUAUAAAAAAUAUAUAUAUUUAAAAAUAAAUAAAUAAUAAUUUAGAGAAUUUCAUAACUUAGCAUCAAACCUAUUGUAGGAAAGAGUAUUAUACAAUGUAGGGUUUAGGAUCAAAGUUAACCUAAGAUCAAAUUUAAGUCUUAAGACCAAUUCACAUUCAAAACUAAGGUUUUAAAUUUCAAAAAUAUAUCUCUUAAACCAAUUAAAUGGAAAAAAGAAAAUUACAAAGAAAAUUUCUUCCUCAUCGGUUUCUUUUAUCUUGAAAACUAAAGGAAAUAUAUAUCAAUAUUUGAGAUGGAAAUUCAUAAUCUUAGAAACACAAAGAACAAAGAGAGUAUGAAGAGACCAUACCAUGAGAGAUUUUCCAAAAGGUUGGUAAACCAUGGUAAUCACCUUUGAGUUUUGCUGAGAAAAACAAACCUUAAUUUUUAUUUUUAUUUUUUUAUCAUUUUUUCUCUUGUGGUGUACAUUUAAGAAAAACAAAUCUUAAAAAAAAAAAAAAAAAAACCAAAUAAUGCCAGAAUUUGGGUUGAGAAACACCCAAAAGAUAGUGGCCCAAUACAUGUGCCUAAGAAAAUCUUCAUGAGCCGAUAAACAUAGUCACAAAACUAGGAACAGCCUUGUAGCCAUAGUUGGUGUAGUAUGAGCAAGUGGGGUAUGAAGUAGGUAGGUGAGUAUUGCAAUGAAAUUUCCAGCACUGCUUCCUGAAUUAAGAAAUCACAUACUCAAGUCUUAAUCGUUGUCAUCAUACCGUGUGAGAACCGAGGAAGAAUCUUUGCUCUUAGACUGGAUUUUGUAGUCUUUCUUUAACAAUUACAAGUUAUCUGAAUUCCCUUCAUCCUCCUAUAUAAUAUUGUUUUUGGUCUUGUUCUUGUUGCAUUGUGGCUAGGCAUCUCCAUGGGAGGAAGGAGGAUGAAUCAAGUUCCUUUGUAUGAAUCAAUUUCUCUGCUCUUUUUUUUUUCAAUCCUUGAAUCGAAUCAUUGCUUAGUUCUUGCUUUAAUUUCUCCAUUUUCUGUUGGGUCUUUGAUUGCAGGUUUAGCUCUGCAAGAAAACUGGGAAAUUUAAUUGUGACCUCCAAUCUAAUCGACUCUGCUUUGACUAAAAUUCUUGAGCUUCAAAGAGACCAAACAGCCUUGCCUUCCCCCGUUCAAUACAGAGUUUUUUAUCCAUCUCCCAAGUGCACAAUUGUAGCUUUUGUCUCUUCACCUGACUGCACUCAAAACCCUCUUCCUGGACAAGGAGAUUUAGUUCCCUCUCCUCUCUUUGACUUCCUCUGCACCGAAGAAUACAAGUCCGUCUCCAUUAACAGAGCUGCAUUAACCCUCUUUACCUCUCUCCACGAUCAUCUCUCUGGACUAAAAACUCAGGUCAAAAUAUGAUAGUUGUUUUUAUUUUCGUUUCCUUUUUGUUAACAAUUGUGAGACAUGAAACAGCUUGACCAUGAGAUCUCUCUCAUAGAGUCAAACUACCUGAAGAAGAAGAAGACGUUACACAUAUCCAUCUGCGCUGCAUCAUCGCAUUACCCAUUGAUCGGUUGUGAUUCAACUCUUAAUAGGAAGACAGUAGAACUGGUGUUGGUAUCUGUUUUUAGAUCAGCUUAUAUGUAUCUUGUUGCUAAAAAGGGAAAGUUUAGAAGUGAGAUUAAUGGGAUUAUUCUGACAUGGAUUUCAUAUGGUUACCUGUUUUGCAGUUGACUGUGAUUGAAGGUCGAUUAAUCAUCACUGGGUACUCGAUGGGAGGAUCCGUUGCUUCUCUCUUCACCUUAUGCCUGUUAGAAGUCAUCAAUUUAUCAAAACCCAAAUGCCGCCCCAUUUGUAUCACCUUUGGUUCACCCCUCAUAGGCGACUUUGGCCUCCAACACUCCAAUUGGAAUUCUUUCUUCUUGCAUGUAGUGUCCAACCAAGAUCUAGUCCCCGGACUCUUCCUCCCAUCCGA